GAACGCUGCACCGGGGCUUGCCCUGGUGUGGAGUGGCGCACGGGUGAGUAGCGCGUGGGAACCUGUCCUCUUGUGGGGGAUAACCGAGGGAAACUUCGGCUAAUACCGCAUGCGCCCGGUGGUGCUCCUUUGGGAGCGAUCUCCGGGGAAAGAUUUAUCGCAGGAGGAGGGGCCCGCGUCGGAUUAGCUUGUUGGCGGGGUAACGGCCCACCAAGGCUUUGAUCCGUAGCUGGUCUGAGAGGAUGAUCAGCCACACUGGGACUGAGACACGGCCCAGACUCCUACGGGAGGCAGCAGUGGGGAAUAUUGGACAAUGGGCGCAAGCCUGAUCCAGCAAUGCCGCGUGAGUGAUGAAGGCCUUCGGGUUGUAAAGCUCUUUCGCCCGCGACGAUGAUGACGGUAGCGGGAGAAGAAGCCCCGGCUAACUUCGUGCCAGCAGCCGCGGUAAUACGAAGGGGGCGAGCGUUGUUCGGAUUUACUGGGCGUAAAGGGCGCGUAGGCGGCGUGGGAAGUCAGGCGUGAAAGCCCCGGGCUCAACCUGGGAACUGCGCUUGGGACUCUCAGGCUGGAGUUCGGGAGAGGAGCGUGGAAUUCCCAGUGUAGAGGUGAAAUUCGUAGAUAUUGGGAAGAACACCGGUGGCGAAGGCGGCGCUCUGGACCGAGACUGACGCUGAGGCGCGAAAGCGUGGGGA
Molecule: ribosomal RNA, 692 nt
Filed under: uncultured forest soil bacterium
Lineage: Bacteria
Description: bacterial SSU rRNA
Rfam family: Bacterial small subunit ribosomal RNA
Source: RNAcentral